RNAcentral lists this ribosomal RNA (844 nucleotides) under Limosilactobacillus fermentum. RNAcentral's name for it is "bacterial SSU rRNA". It matches the Rfam family "Bacterial small subunit ribosomal RNA", at positions 615 to 1458 of the family's 1533-position model. Lineage: Bacteria; Bacillati; Bacillota; Bacilli; Lactobacillales; Lactobacillaceae. The record is from RNAcentral.
GGAGAAGUGCAUCGGAAACUGGAUAACUUGAGUGCAGAAGAGGGUAGUGGAACUCCAUGUGUAGCGGUGGAAUGCGUAGAUAUAUGGAAGAACACCAGUGGCGAAGGCGGCUACCUGGUCUGCAACUGACGCUGAGACUCGAAAGCAUGGGUAGCGAACAGGAUUAGAUACCCUGGUAGUCCAUGCCGUAAACGAUGAGUGCUAGGUGUUGGAGGGUUUCCGCCCUUCAGUGCCGGAGCUAACGCAUUAAGCACUCCGCCUGGGGAGUACGACCGCAAGGUUGAAACUCAAAGGAAUUGACGGGGGCCCGCACAAGCGGUGGAGCAUGUGGUUUAAUUCGAAGCUACGCGAAGAACCUUACCAGGUCUUGACAUCUUGCGCCAACCCUAGAGAUAGGGCGUUUCCUUCGGGAACGCAAUGACAGGUGGUGCAUGGUCGUCGUCAGCUCGUGUCGUGAGAUGUUGGGUUAAGUCCCGCAACGAGCGCAACCCUUGUUACUAGUUGCCAGCAUUAAGUUGGGCACUCUAGUGAGACUGCCGGUGACAAACCGGAGGAAGGUGGGGACGACGUCAGAUCAUCAUGCCCCUUAUGACCUGGGCUACACACGUGCUACAAUGGACGGUACAACGAGUCGCGAACUCGCGAGGGCAAGCAAAUCUCUUAAAACCGUUCUCAGUUCGGACUGCAGGCUGCAACUCGCCUGCACGAAGUCGGAAUCGCUAGUAAUCGCGGAUCAGCAUGCCGCGGUGAAUACGUUCCCGGGCCUUGUACACACCGCCCGUCACACCAUGAGAGUUUGUAACACCCAAAGUCGGUGGGGUAACCUUUUAGGAGCCAGCCGCGU